AAGUCGUAACAAGGUAGCCGUAGGGGAACCUGCGGCUGGAUCACCUCCUUUAAAGAGCAAG
RNAcentral lists this ribosomal RNA (61 nucleotides) under Deltaproteobacteria bacterium. Its description in RNAcentral is "partial 16S ribosomal RNA". The stretch from base 1 to 51 matches the Rfam family "Bacterial small subunit ribosomal RNA", at positions 1483 to 1533 of the family's 1533-position model. The record is from RNAcentral. Lineage: Bacteria; Pseudomonadati; Myxococcota; Myxococcia.